GACGAACGCUGGCGGCGUGCUUAACACAUGCAAGUCGAGCGGUAAGGCCCUUUCGGGGGUACACGAGCGGCGAACGGGUGAGUAACACGUGGGUGACCUGCCCUCAGCUCUGGGAUAAGCCUGGGAAACCGGGUCUAAUACUGGAUAUGACUCCAUGACGCAUGUUGUGGGGUGGAAAGCCUUGUGCGGCUGAGGAUGGGCCCGCGGCCUAUCAGCUUGUUGGUGGGGUGANGGCCUACCAAGGCGACGACGGGUAGCCGGCCUGAGAGGGCGACCGGCCACACUGGGACUGAGACACGGCCCAGACUCCUACGGGAGGCAGCAGUGGGGAAUCUUGCGCAAUGGGCGAAAGCCUGACGGAGUGACGCCGCGUGGGGACGAAGGCCUUCGGUUGUAACCCU
Molecule: ribosomal RNA, 401 nt
Filed under: uncultured bacterium
Lineage: Bacteria
Description: bacterial SSU rRNA
Rfam family: Bacterial small subunit ribosomal RNA
Source: RNAcentral